Paramuricea clavata is the source of this 918-nucleotide non-coding RNA. The record is from the annotation of a GenBank genome assembly. NCBI's taxonomy places the organism in Eukaryota, Metazoa, Cnidaria, Anthozoa, Malacalcyonacea, Plexauridae.
GCAUAUAGUAAAAAGGUAUGUCACUGCAUGAAGGUAUUUUUAAUAGUCAAAUUAUUUUUUUAGAAUUGCAAUCAAGUUUUCUUGUAAAGUAUACAUAAUGGUAAGUUAAUAUUAAUCAUAUCAUCACCUUCCAUGGGAAGCCUAAGGUUGAUUGAUGUGCAGGAAAUCCAUCUAAUAUUUAAAAUUUUGUUACAGAGCAAUAACAACAACACCACCACCACCAACAACAACAACCAUGUGAAUAGUGUGCUUAGGCAAUUGAUUGGUCAACUCAAUACUCACCUGUCAACUUUGAAUCAACCCUCAACCCCAAAUCAGCCCUCAACCUAUGAUCAACCGACAACUCCCAAUCACCCUUUCUUCUCUAAUCACCAUUCCACCUCUAAUCACCCUUCCACUUCUAAUCACCCUUCCACUUCUAAUCACCCAUCCACUUCUAAUCACCCAUUCACUUCUAAUCAUCCUUCCACUUCUAAUCAUCCUUCCACUUCUAAUCACCCAUCCACUCCUAAUCAUCCAUCCACUUCUAAUCACCCAUUCACUUCUAAUCAUCCUUCCACUUCUAAUCAUCCUUCCACUUCUAAUCACCCAUCCACUCCUAAUCAUCCAUCCACUUCUAAUCAUACUUCCACUUCUAAUCAUCCUUCUGCUUCUAACCAUCCUUCUACUUCUGAUCACCCUUCCACUUCUAAUCAUCUGUCUACUUCUAAUCACUCUUCUAUGUCAAGGCAGCCUUUAAUAUAUCAUCACCUUCCAUCAGGAAGGCAGCUUAGUUCAAACACAAUGCCUGCUGUUGCUGAACAUAGAAGAUUGUUUACAAGGCAGUCUGUAAGUGUUUUUUGUAUGUCUAAGACAUUGUAAAAUUUAUAUAAUAAAUUAUUUAUUUUGCAAAGUAACCAUUUAGGUUUAACAUAGGCA